UACGUAGGGGGCUAGCGUUGUCCGGAAUCAUUGGGCGUAAAGAGCGUGUAGGCGGUCCGGUAAGUCCGCUGUGAAAGUCGGGGGCUCAACCCUCGAAUGCCGGUGGAUACUGUCGGGCUAGAGUGCGGAAGAGGCGAGUGGAAUUCCCAGUGUAGAGGUGAAAUUCGUAGAUAUCGGGAGGAACACCGGCGGCGAAGGCGGCGACCUGGUUGGAUACUGACGCUGAGGCGCGAAAGCGUGGGGAGCAAACAGG
RNAcentral lists this ribosomal RNA (253 nucleotides) under uncultured bacterium. RNAcentral describes it as "partial 16S ribosomal RNA". It matches the Rfam family "Bacterial small subunit ribosomal RNA", at positions 524 to 776 of the family's 1533-position model. The record is from RNAcentral.